GUGAACGCUGGCGGUAGGCCUAACACAUGCAAGUCGAACGGCAGCACAGUAAGAGCUUGCUCUUACGGGUGGCGAGUGGCGGACGGGUGAGGAAUACAUCGGAAUCUACUUUUUCGUGGGGGAUAACGUAGGGAAACUUACGCUAAUACCGCAUACGACCUACGGGUGAAAGCAGGGGAUCUUCGGACCUUGCGCGAUUGAAUGAGCCGAUGUCGGAUUAGCUAGUUGGCGGGGUAAAGGCCCACCAAGGCGACGAUCCGUAGCUGGUCUGAGAGGAUGAUCAGCCACACUGGAACUGAGACACGGUCCAGACUCCUACGGGAGGCAGCAGUGGGGAAUAUUGGACAAUGGGCGCAAGCCUGAUCCAUCCAUACCGCGUGGGUGAAGAAGGCCUUCGGGUUGUAAAGCCCUUUUGUUGGGAAAGAAAAGCAGCAGGUUAAUACCCCGCUGUUCUGACGGUACCCAAAGAAUAAGCACCGGCUAACUUCGUG
RNAcentral lists this ribosomal RNA (491 nucleotides) under uncultured bacterium. Its description in RNAcentral is "partial 16S ribosomal RNA". It matches the Rfam family "Bacterial small subunit ribosomal RNA", at positions 29 to 507 of the family's 1533-position model. The record is from RNAcentral.